GCUCAGCAAGCUGUCCAUAGAAAAUGCUACAAUAUUCACAGAAAUUGGAGGCACAAUAUGAAAUUGCAUUACAAGCAUGUUAAGAACGUCUUACAUGUGGAUCCUUAUAGUCAUCCAUACGAACAUGUGACUCAAGAGGAUUGGCGCCACUUAAUUGACGAUGUGUGGAAAAGUAAAGAACACAAGGUGAGAUCAAAAGCUGGCAAAAAGAAUAGGAAAAAGCUUGAGUACAAUCAUUGUUCAGGAUCUCGGUCAUUUGUUGCAACAAUGACUAUACAGAAUUCUAUAAGAAAACUCAUACCAAGAAGAACAAAGAGUGGAUUGAUCCUAUUUGCGCCGUGAAACAUUCAAAGAUGUUGAGCUUGCGAGAAGAAUCUUCCCAAUCCGGUGUGCAAUUAACAUCAGAGGAGAUGUCUAGGCAGGCACUUGGAAAAAGGAAGAGAUACAUUCUUGGAUUUGGGGAUGGGCCGAAGCCCUCUUCAUCUUCUUCCACACCUAGUCGUGUGUCACAAGACCAUGUUGGGGAGUUACAGAAACUUAAAGCUGAGAUGGAGGAGAUGAAGAUGGAGCGUGAGAUGGAGCGUGAGGAGCUGCGGAGGCAAUUGGAACAGGAGAGGAGAGAGCGAGAGGAAGAACAGAAGCAAAUUGCACAUCUUACAAGUUUGGUGACAGAGUUCUUAAAGGAAAAGACUCAAACGCAUAAGUCGUCUAUCCAUCAUGAUGGGGCCAUGUAUUCAACUGGUGGCACAAAUACUCGUUGAUACAUGGUGGAGUUAUGAGCAUGUGAAUCUAGUUUUUGGUACAUGGAUAGCUUUUGUUC
Non-coding RNA from Phoenix dactylifera (date palm), 820 nucleotides. NCBI's taxonomy places the organism in Eukaryota, Viridiplantae, Streptophyta, Magnoliopsida, Arecales, Arecaceae. The record is from RefSeq and is a predicted model, not a curated record.